This is an RNA transcript of Pan troglodytes (chimpanzee), 1355 nucleotides long. It is a transcript of the gene named NmrA like redox sensor 1, with no coding region annotated. The record is from RefSeq and is a predicted model, not a curated record. NCBI's taxonomy places the organism in Eukaryota, Metazoa, Chordata, Mammalia, Primates, Hominidae. The transcript has 7 exons.
AACUGCGCCGGAGGAGGGGUUUCGGCUGACACGUCGGGAUUGGCGGCUGCAGCCAGGGGUCCUCCGACGCUGGGCUUGCGUGAGCGGCGCUCUGCCGGGUGGGGCCGGAGCUGCGGGGAGGGAGUUGGCGCCUAGCGCGCAGCUCCAUCCCCGCCUCUGCAGUGGACUCGGCCGCAGAAUCGGGGUCCCGGGCUCCUGGAACUUGUCCCGCCCAGGCCGCGGCGAGGAGGUCACUCCAGCCGAUCUCUGGACCGCAUUCGUCCCAUUCUCGUCCUCAUGGUGGACAAGAAACUGGUGGUGGUUUUCGGAGGCACAGGUGCCCAGGGUGGCUCCGUGGCCCGCACACUCCUGGAAGAUGGGACAUUCAAGGUUCGAGUGGUGACCCGAAACCCUAGGAAGAAGGCAGCAAAGGAGCUGAGGCUGCAAGGUGCAGAAGUAGUGCAGGGAGACCAAGAUGACCAGGUCAGCAUGGAGCUGGCCCUGAAUGGGGCUUACGCCACCUUCAUCGUGACCAAUUACUGGGAGAGCUGCAGCCAGGAGCAGGAGGUCAAGCAGGGGAAGCUACUCGCUGAUCUGGCCAGGCGCCUGGGCCUCCACUAUGUAGUCUACAGCGGCCUGGAGAACAUCAAGAAGCUGACGGCAGGGAGAUUGGCCGCCGCGCACUUUGACGGCAAAGGGGAGGUGGAGGAAUAUUUCCGGGACAUUGGCGUUCCCAUGACCAGUGUGCGGCUGCCCUGCUAUUUUGAGAACCUCCUCUCCCACUUCUUGCCCCAGAAAGCCCCAGACGGAAAGAGCUACUUGCUGAGCUUGCCCACAGGUGACGUUCCCAUGGAUGGCAUGUCCGUGUCUGACCUGGGUCCUGUGGUGCUCAGCCUUUUGAAGAUGCCAGAAAAAUACGUCGGCCAGAACAUCGGGCUGAGCACUUGCAGGCACACGGCCGAGGAGUACGCUGCCCUGCUCACCAAGCACACCCGCAAGGUCGUGCACGAUGCCAAGGAGCUAACUGGCCACAGAGUGAAAUUUCUGGCUUAGAUGUUUUGACCAAAUAGAGAGAAAAGCUUCCAGGAGGAGAGGGCCAUAGGAGCCAAGAUGACUCCUGAGGACUACGAAAAGCUUGGCUUUCCCGGUGCCCGGGACCUGGCCAACAUGUUCCGUUUCUAUGCCCUGAGACCCGACCGUGACAUCGAGCUGACCCUGAGACUCAACCCCAAGGCCCUGACGCUGGACCAGUGGCUGGAACAGCACAAAGGGGACUUCACCCUGCUGUGACCUGCCCGCCUCGCGGCCCCUUGUGGGGGUCGGGGGCACCAGAGGGGCAGAGGCACCAACAUCUGAAUAAAGCCAUUGUUCUCCCA